This 300-nucleotide ribosomal RNA is filed under the name uncultured Bacteriovoracaceae bacterium. RNAcentral describes it as "bacterial SSU rRNA". It matches the Rfam family "Bacterial small subunit ribosomal RNA", at positions 114 to 407 of the family's 1533-position model. Lineage: Bacteria; Pseudomonadati; Bdellovibrionota; Bacteriovoracia; Bacteriovoracales; Bacteriovoracaceae. The record is from RNAcentral.
CGCGUAGAUGAUGUGCCUUUUAGUGGGGGACAACCUCGGGAAACCGGGGCUAAUACCGCAUAAGCUUAGUUGACUUGAAAGAUACUAAGGAAAGGGGGCUUCGGCUCUCGCUAAGAGAUCGGUCUGCGUAGCAUUAGCUUGUUGGUGGGGUAAUGGCCUACCAAGGCAACGAUGCUUAACUGGUCUGAGAGGAUGAUCAGUCACACUGGAACUGAGACACGGUCCAGACUCCUACGGGAGGCAGCAGUAGGGAAUAUUGCGCAAUGGAGGAAACUCUGACGCAGCAAUGCCACGUGAGUG